AUGCUUUGGGGAGCUGUAAGUAAGCUUUGAUCCAGAGAUUUCCGAAUGGGGAAACCCAGCAUGAGUUAUGUCAUGUUAUCGAUAUGUGAAUACAUAGCAUAUCAGAAGGCACACCCGGAGAACUGAAACAUCUUAGUACCCGGAGGAAGAGAAAGAAAAUUCGAUUCCCUUAGUAGCGGCGAGCGAAACGGGAAGAGCCCAAACCAACAAGCUUGCUUGUUGGGGUUGUAGGACACUCUAUACGGAGUUACAAAGGACGACAUUAGACGAAUCAUCUGGAAAGAUGAAUCAAAGAAGGUAAUAAUCCUGUAGUCGAAAAUGUUGUCUCUCUUGAGUGAAUCCUGAGUACGACGGAGCACGUGAAAUUCCGUCGGAAUCUGGGAGGACCAUCUCCUAAGGCUAAAUACUCUCUAGUGACCGAUAGUGAACCAGUACCGUGAGGGAAAGGUGAAAAGCACCCCGGAAGGGGAGUGAAAUAGAACCUGAAACCGUGUGCUUACAAGUAGUCAGAGCCCGUUAAUGGGUGAUGGCGUGCCUUUUGUAGAAUGAACCGGCGAGUUACGAUUUGAUGCAAGGUUAAGCAGUAAACGUGGAGCCGUAGCGAAAGCGAGUCUGAAUAGGGCGUUUAGUAUUUGGUCGUAGACCCGAAACCAGGUGAUCUACCCUUGGUCAGGUUGAAGUUCAGGUAACACUGAAUGGAGGACCGAACCGACUUACGUUGAAAAGUGAGCGGAUGAACUGAGGGUAGCGGAGAAAUUCCAAUCGAACCUGGAGAUAGCUGGUUCUCUCCGAAAUAGCUUUAGGGCUAGCCUCAAGUGAUGAUUAUUGGAGGUAGAGCACUGUUUGGACGAGGGGCCCCUCUCGGGUUACCGAAUUCAGACAAACUCCGAAUGCCAAUUAAUUUAACUUGGGAGUCAGAACAUGGGUGAUAAGGUCCGUGUUCGAAAGGGAAACAGCCCAGACCACCAGCUAAGGUCCCAAAAUAUAUGUUAAGUGGAAAAGGAUGUGGCGUUGCCCAGACAACUAGGAUGUUGGCUUAGAAGCAGCCAUCAUUUAAAGAGUGCGUAAUAGCUCACUAGUCGAGUGACACUGCGCCGAAAAUGUACCGGGGCUAAACAUAUUACCGAAGCU
Molecule: ribosomal RNA, 1131 nt
Filed under: Staphylococcus aureus
Lineage: Bacteria; Bacillati; Bacillota; Bacilli; Caryophanales; Staphylococcaceae
Description: partial 23S ribosomal RNA
Rfam family: Bacterial large subunit ribosomal RNA
Source: RNAcentral